Molecule: small nucleolar RNA, 218 nt
Organism: Nymphaea colorata (pocket water lily)
Lineage: Eukaryota; Viridiplantae; Streptophyta; Magnoliopsida; Nymphaeales; Nymphaeaceae
Product: small nucleolar RNA U3
Exons: 1
Source: RefSeq, a predicted model, not a curated record
ACGACCUUACUUGAACAGGAUCUGUUCUAUAGGUUGUACUACUGAAUCCUUAAUCCUAAGGAGACAGAGAUCAAAAUCUGGAGGAGGACACAUGACCUCUCGACCUGAGCGUGAAAGCUGCGUGGGUGCCGUCUCCUCGGGGGCGGUAGUCGAGCGGAGGAUCGUUUCGUGGCCGACUUCGGUCGACUAUGGAUGGUCUUGAGGUUGUCUGACAGACC